This is a long non-coding RNA of Hemicordylus capensis (graceful crag lizard), 951 nucleotides long. RefSeq lists it as uncharacterized. The record is from RefSeq and is a predicted model, not a curated record. The transcript has 3 exons. NCBI's taxonomy places the organism in Eukaryota, Metazoa, Chordata, Lepidosauria, Squamata, Cordylidae.
CCUUUAGGGUGUGGAGGAUGCAAGAGAAGAAGCAGCAUCUCCAGGGGCACCUCGGUUCUCCUUUUCCUAUCCCCAUAAUCGAUGAGAUAACCAUGGUAAAGCAGUUGUGCUCCCUUUAAGUACAGAGACGAGUGGUUAGGCUGCCAGGAAGAAGGAAAUGCAAAAGAUCAUAGGUGGUCACAAUCAACAUGGAGAUUGAAAGAUAAUUUUCCAAUUCACAACAAACUGCUCUCUAUGGCCACAUUCACACGUAAUGCCAAACCACGUUAAACAUGGCCGAGGUUGGAACUCCAGUAUGCACAGACGCACGAAACCAUGGUUGUGGGCCGAAAGCGAACUCCAGUUUGCCUUGCCACACUACAAAUUGAACCUUCGUUUAUCUCUAACGUUUGCUGCCAAGUCCUGAGGCUUUGUCACCGAAGUGUUACAUUCGCUUUCUGGUGCAGCUAUAACUGGUUUCGCACUGAUUUUCAGACCUCAGUCAUAGAGGCAGUGGCACUGACCCACCCGAGGACAUGGCUGCUCCAAGCCUUUGGCACUUCUCGCUGACAGCCUCUUGAAGAACCAGCCCUGCCCCUCUUGUCAGCUAUGCAUCUAUGGAGCUGCCAGGCUACAGGGGCGCCGCCAUGCCCCAUCCUGGACUUAUCAGCCUGUCAAGCUGCACAGUCACUCAGGGGAAUCCACUCUUCCCACUCUGUCUCUGACAGUAUUUACCAACAGGAAAUGGCUUGGCUCGAAAAGCAUAAAGCAAUUCAUUUAUUUGCUUUAAAUAAAGCUUAAAUGAUCAACAAACUUUGAAAAAGCAACAAACUCAUAACAAAAUGCCUGGUGUGAGGUAAGGAAUAUCAAAAAUAUUGUUUUGCUUCAGGACAUGUGAAACAUCACUAACAUGGAAAUAAACCCUUACGAGGGAAGUCAUUUAUUGCUAAUGGAAGUGGAUUUUUCAUUCCA